UACAGAGGGGGCAAGCGUUGUUCGGAAUUACUGGGCGUAAAGGGCGCGUAGGCGGCCUUCUAAGUCGAACGUGAAAUCCCCGGGCUCAACCCGGGAACUGCGUCCGAUACUGGAAGGCUUGAAUCCGGGAGAGGGAUGCGGAAUUCCAGGUGUAGCGGUGGAAUGCGUAGAGAUCCGGAGGAAGACCGGUGGCGAAGGCGGCCUGCUGGGCAGUUACUGACACUGAGGCGCGACAGCGUGGGGAGCAAACAGG
This 253-nucleotide ribosomal RNA is filed under the name uncultured bacterium. RNAcentral describes it as "partial 16S ribosomal RNA". It matches the Rfam family "Bacterial small subunit ribosomal RNA", at positions 524 to 776 of the family's 1533-position model. The record is from RNAcentral.